UCCCUGGUGGCUCAGAUGGUAAAGCGUCUGCCUACAAUGCAGGAGACCCGGGUUCGAUCCCUGGGUUGGGAA
This 72-nucleotide transfer RNA is filed under the name Ovis aries (sheep). It matches the Rfam family "tRNA". From Rfam's summary of the family: Transfer RNA (tRNA) molecules are approximately 80 nucleotides in length. Their secondary structure includes four short double-helical elements and three loops (D, anti-codon, and T loops). Further hydrogen bonds mediate the characteristic L-shaped molecular structure. tRNAs have two regions of fundamental functional importance: the anti-codon, which is responsible for specific mRNA codon recognition, and the 3' end, to which the tRNAs corresponding amino acid is attached (by aminoacyl-tRNA synthetases). tRNAs cope with the degeneracy of the genetic code in two manners: having more than one tRNA (with a specific anti-codon) for a particular amino acid; and 'wobble' base-pairing, i.e. permitting non-standard base-pairing at the 3rd anti-codon position. The record is from Rfam by way of RNAcentral. Lineage: Eukaryota; Metazoa; Chordata; Mammalia; Artiodactyla; Bovidae. RNAcentral also lists the same sequence under 5 other names.